RNAcentral lists this ribosomal RNA (253 nucleotides) under uncultured bacterium. RNAcentral's name for it is "partial 16S ribosomal RNA". It matches the Rfam family "Bacterial small subunit ribosomal RNA", at positions 524 to 776 of the family's 1533-position model. The record is from RNAcentral.
UACGAAGGGUGCAAGCGUUGUUCGGAAUCAUUGGGCGUAAAGCGCGUGUAGGCGGCUAUGUAAGUCGGACGUGAAAUCCCGGGGCUCAACCCCGGAACUGCAUCCGAUACUGUGUAGCUAGAGUGUGAGAGAGGAGAGUGGAAUUCCUGGUGGAGGGGUGAAAUCCGUAGAUAUCAGGAGGAACAUCAGAGGCGAAGGCGGCUCUCUGGCUCAUAUCUGACGCUGAGACGCGAAAGCGUGGGUAGCAAACAGG